Molecule: ribosomal RNA, 468 nt
Filed under: uncultured bacterium
Lineage: Bacteria
Description: partial 16S ribosomal RNA
Rfam family: Bacterial small subunit ribosomal RNA
Source: RNAcentral
GACGAACGCUGGCGGCGUGCCUAACACAUGCAAGUCGAACGGAAAGGCCCUGCUUUUGUGGGGUGCUCGAGUGGCGAACGGGUGAGUAACACGGGAGUAACCUGCCCUUGACUUUGGGAUAACUUCAGGAAACUGGGGCUAAUACCGGGUAGGAGCUCCUGCUGCAUGGUGGGGGUUGGAAAGUUUCGGCGGUGGGGGAUGGACUCGCGGCUUAUCAGCUUGUUGGUGGGGUAGUGGCUUACCAAGGCUUUGACGGGUAGCCGGCCUGAGAGGGUGACCGGCCACAUUGGGACUGAGAUACGGCCCAGACUCCUACGGGAGGCAGCAGUGGGGAAUAUUGCACAAUGGGCGGAAGCCUGAUGCAGCAACGCCGCGUGCGGGAUGACGGCCUUCGGGUUGUAAACCGCUUUCGCCUGUGACGAAGCGUGAGUGACGGUAAUGGGUAAAGAAGCACCGGCUAACUACGUG